GGGGGCGAAAUAGGAUCGACAAGAGUGUAAAGAUUGCUCUUUUACUCGGCAUUGUACCACCGUUAUCGGACUAAAUGAGUAGUUGCAAAUGACAACUAUGCGGAAGCACGUCUCGCCGCUUAAGCGGUGCGAAUGUUUCAAACUAAGUCUUAAUCUGUCGCAAGGUUAAGCGGGGUUCGAAGG
RNAcentral lists this transfer-messenger RNA (183 nucleotides) under Bartonella bacilliformis. Its description in RNAcentral is "transfer-messenger RNA Barto_bacil_KC583". It matches the Rfam family "Alphaproteobacteria transfer-messenger RNA", at positions 148 to 331 of the family's 355-position model. From Rfam's summary of the family: Bacterial tmRNA, also known as 10Sa RNA or SsrA, is named for its dual tRNA and mRNA-like properties. Its role is to liberate the mRNA from a stalled ribosome. To accomplish this part of the tmRNA is used as a reading frame that ends in a translation stop signal. Lineage: Bacteria; Pseudomonadati; Pseudomonadota; Alphaproteobacteria; Hyphomicrobiales; Bartonellaceae. The record is from RNAcentral.